This is a long non-coding RNA of Thalassophryne amazonica, 375 nucleotides long. RefSeq lists it as uncharacterized. The record is from RefSeq and is a predicted model, not a curated record. Lineage: Eukaryota; Metazoa; Chordata; Actinopteri; Batrachoidiformes; Batrachoididae. The transcript is spliced from 3 exons.
AUUGUUAGUUGAGCCAUCGUAACGGAGGCCAGCAGGUGUCGUCGUGCAGAUGUAGUUUGUAAACCUAACUCCCAACAGCUCAAAAGGAUUCUCUGGUCAAGGCCAGAGACCUGGGUUUUAGCCUUCUGGUUAGAGAGUCCGACUUCCAUGCCGAGGAUCAUGAGUUUGUGUCCCGAGGGGAGCGAAUGGGCGGAGUCAUAACAACACAACGCAGAGUGCAGCCGCUACAUAAGUAUGUGGUGUAUUAUUUUAAAAUGAUGAUAAAUUCAAGAUACAUUUACACUGGAAAUCUGACUCAAAGAGAAAGAUUUCACGUGAUCUCUCAAUACAUUUUUUUGAAGCCAUUUGUUAGAAGUCCCUGAUCUUGUGCUCCAA